RNAcentral lists this small RNA (107 nucleotides) under Marmota monax (woodchuck). Lineage: Eukaryota; Metazoa; Chordata; Mammalia; Rodentia; Sciuridae. The record is from RNAcentral.
GCUGGGUGUGGUGACUCAUGCCUGUGAUCCCAGUGACUCAGGAGGCUGAGGCAGGAGAAUCAUAAAUUCAAGGCCAGUCUCAACCAUUUAGUAAGACCCUGUCUCAA